Molecule: RNA transcript, 7316 nt
Organism: Lynx canadensis (Canada lynx)
Lineage: Eukaryota; Metazoa; Chordata; Mammalia; Carnivora; Felidae
Gene: PAPOLG
Gene name: poly(A) polymerase gamma
Exons: 22
Source: RefSeq, a predicted model, not a curated record
CGAGGGGCAGGCUGGGAAGCGGCGCCAUAUUGGCGUCGGCCGCGCUGUAUUGUCAUAAAUAGAGCCGGUUUUGUGGUGUUUUCACUACUCGGUUGGAUGCCUCGGCCGUAGUAAGUGAGAAAGUGAGCGAGCAAGCGAGCUACAAGCAACCGGAGGAAAGUGGACAGGAGGAGAAGGAAAGAGCAAGAACUUGACUCCAGAGCGAAAGAUACUCGGCGGUGAGGGAGACGCAGGAAGCGAUGAAAGAGAUGUCUGCAAACACCAUGCUGGACAGCCAGCGUCAACAAAAGCAUUAUGGAAUCACUUCUCCAAUUAGUUUGGCAUGUCCAAAAGAAAUUGAUCAUAUUUACACACAGAAAUUGAUUGAUGCCAUGAAACCAUUUGGAGUGUUUGAAGAUGAAGAAGAACUGAACCACAGGCUGGUUGUUCUUGGUAAAUUGAACAAUUUAGUAAAAGAAUGGAUUUCUGAUGUCAGUGAGAGUAAGAAUCUCCCACCUUCUGUCGUGGCUACUGUUGGUGGUAAAAUUUUCACAUUUGGCUCCUACAGGCUUGGAGUACACACCAAAGGAGCUGAUAUUGAUGCACUUUGUGUAGCUCCAAGACAUGUGGAGAGAUCUGAUUUUUUUCAGUCUUUUUUUGAAAAAUUGAAACAUCAAGAUGGCAUUAGAAACUUAAGAGCUGUAGAAGAUGCCUUUGUACCUGUUAUAAAGUUUGAAUUUGAUGGAAUUGAAAUUGAUCUAGUCUUUGCAAGACUGGCAAUACAAACCAUAUCAGAUAAUUUAGAUCUAAGAGACGACUCUCGACUGAGAAGCCUUGAUAUAAGGUGUAUUCGCAGCCUAAAUGGAUGUAGAGUUACUGAUGAAAUUUUGCAUUUAGUGCCAAAUAAAGAAACUUUCAGACUCACCCUAAGAGCAGUCAAAUUAUGGGCAAAACGACGUGGUAUUUAUUCCAACAUGCUGGGAUUUCUUGGUGGUGUCUCCUGGGCAAUGCUGGUUGCAAGAACUUGCCAAUUAUAUCCAAAUGCAGCAGCUUCUACUUUAGUUCAUAAGUUCUUUUUAGUUUUUUCCAAAUGGGAAUGGCCAAAUCCUGUCCUGCUGAAGCAACCAGAAGAAAGCAAUUUGAAUUUGCCUGUUUGGGAUCCUCGGGUAAAUCCAUCAGAUAGGUAUCAUCUCAUGCCCAUAAUCACCCCUGCCUACCCACAGCAGAAUUCUACGUAUAAUGUGUCCACCUCAACUCGAACAGUAAUGGUAGAAGAAUUUAAACAAGGUCUUGCAGUCACAGAUGAAAUCCUUCAAGGGAAAUCAGACUGGUCCAAACUACUUGAGCCACCAAAUUUUUUUCAAAAGUAUAGACAUUAUAUAGUAUUGACUGCCAGUGCAUCAACAGAAGAAAACCAUCUAGAGUGGGUUGGAUUAGUAGAAUCUAAAAUCCGUGUGCUUGUUGGAAACUUGGAACGGAACGAAUUUAUUACUCUUGCCCAUGUAAAUCCCCAGUCAUUCCCAGGAAAUAAGGAACAUCAUAAAGACAACAAUUACGUGUCAAUGUGGUUCCUUGGAAUAAUUUUUCGGAGAGUUGAAAAUGCAGAAAGUGUUAACAUAGACCUGACCUAUGAUAUACAGUCGUUUACUGAUACAGAUUCCUGUACAUCACGUCGGCACUACCGAAUCCCACACUCUGGGAGUGGAGCCAGAGAAUCUGCAAGUUGAACAAGCACUCCUGGUGAUGCUUUUAUAAGCAAUCUGGAAUGAAAACAUGGAUAUACAUUUUUCCAUUCUAAUUUGGGCUCAUUUUUCCAAAAGCAGGAGAUUGGGAAGCUCUGUUUGUUGUAGAUUUAUAGAAUGUUCUUCUCCAGAUAGAGAUUCUGAGACCCCAAGCGAGGAGAUAAUGUACCACAUUUCACAGUAGUUAACUAUGCAAAAGAAGCCUCUCCUCUGUGUCUUCAGUAAGCUUAUGAUCUAAUUUGGUAUUCACAGUUAAACGUACAUUAAAUAAUCCGUGUUAAUAAAACUGACUUUGUUACAAGAUGUGAAAAGUGCUAGAAAGGGACUCUAGGGCUGUGUGUAUUCCACCAUCAGCAAGUAUUCAGGGCUUUUGAGCCUCAUUUCCCCACCUGUACAAUAAGGAUGUACUUCUGGAUAGUUCCUGACAGUCCAAUAUUCUAUGAUUAGUGUAGUAAAAGAAACAUCACGGUGGAUGACAACUUGUAUUGCAUCUUGGAUCUUUAGUAUAAGGAUUAGCUUAGACUUGGGUGAGUAAUUAUAAGAGAUUGUCUUUUGGGGAAAUAACAGAAAAUGAUUUGGAAAAAACUUUUUUCAUGCAUUUUAAUGAGAUUUGAUUAUUGGAAAGUCUUAGAAGUUGGACAUGGGAAAACUAGUUGGUACUUAAAUAGGAUUGUGAAAUGAAAAUGUUUUAAAAAUACUUGUUCUGUAAGCAGAGUGGGUGUGUAUGUUUGUGAGAUUAUGGGGACAUAUCAAAUAUAUGCAUUUUGGAAAAAGAAAACAGACUUCCUGGUUGAGGAAGAAGUUGCCCAUUUAACAUACUAACAUUGUUACAGUGUACAGACAGGCAAACAAUAUAAACAUGCUAAAGGAAGGGAUGAAAAUUGAAGCAACUCAUGUUAAAAAAAAGCAACUUCAUCACUACCUUCCCGCAGAGAUUCUUCAAAAGAAGAAAAAGCAAAGUCUUUCUGAUGUCAGUCGAAGUUCAGGUGGACCUCAAUCCAAAAGAUCAUCUCUGGAUAGCAAUUGUUUGGAUAGCUCCAGAGACACUGAUAAUGGAACUCCUUUUAAUUCCCCAGUGUCUGCAAACAAACCUUCCAAGCCUGACGUUCUUCCUUCAGGAGAAACGGAAAGGAAUAAUACUGAGCCUGCUGCUGUAAUUGCGGAAAAGCCACUGAGUGUGCCACAAGCUCAAGGACUGUCUAUCCCAGUCAUUGGUGCAAAAGUUGAUUCUGCAGUAAAAGCCGUAUCGCCCCCAGCUGUGUGCACCAUUCCUACUGUAGUCGGACGAAAUGUCAUUCCUAGAAUCCCAACACCCCACAACCCUGCCCAGGGACAGCCACAUCUUAAUGGAAUGUCAAACAUAACUAAGAAUGUUGCACAUAAGAGGUCCCAUUCCCCAUCCGUAGAUGGGUCUUCUAAGAGGUUGAAAGAAAUAGAAAAGUUUAUUCGACUUGAAUCAACAUUUAAGGAAUCACGUGCUCCUGAAGACAGAAAAAGAAAAGCAAUGGAUGCCAUUGGAGGAGAAUGUAUGCCUAUUCCAACUAUUGAUACAUCACGCAAAAAGAGACUACCCAGUAAAGAACUACCAGAUUCAUCAUCUCCGGUUCCAGCAAAUAACAUUCGAGUCAUCAAAAAUUCCAUUCGACUGACCCUUAAUCGGUAAAAGCAGUGCCUCCUUACUUAAGUGAAUAUGCAAUCAUUUAGUGGCAUAGAGCAGCCACUCUUUUUAAAAUAGAAGUGGCUGUCACACAUAUAAUAAGGUGAAAGUUACAGUCAUCGGACUAACAAGCUUGAAGUGGUUUUGAACUCUCACACUUUGACCUGCAGAUGCCGUAGCAUUCUCUCAUUGAUUUGCUACGUACACUUCUGUGAGGAUCAUCUGCUAUCAGAUUGUCAUCUACAAUGUUAUGGCUUUGCGUUGGAGGUUUUACUGCCUUAACUUUCGAUGCUUGUUUCUCUGUUGUGGGAACCAGUUCUCGGCUCUUUGGACAUGGAUAAAACGAGUCCAGAACUUUUUUCUUUUUUUUUUUUUUUUUUAAGUCUUAUGUUAUAAUCAUUGUAUAGAACUGAAAAAGUUGAAAACAAAAAAAUUGUAAUUUUCCAAAUGUUAACACAUUUACUUUAGCCUUGAAGCCACUUUGUGAAACCUGAGAUAAGUGAAUGUGAGGUAUCUUUUCUGCUUUCCUCAUUUGUGUAGAUGUACUUAUUGUCUAUUCUGUUGAUUUAAAUUAUUUUUUUCCAGAAUGGCACAUGGAAUAUUUAAAUUUUUAUUUUUUUGUGCCUUUCUGUCCAAAUGUUGCAUAGUUACCAGGGAGGAUUAGUCCAGUGAUUACAUAAGAGUUGGGCACCAUAAAUUCUCUAUAUUUUGCCUCCCAUGGAGGCCUUCGAAAUGCAUCUUUAUUAAGAAUCAAAAUGUAACCAAGAUACUGAAAGUCAGUAUAUGAAUGGUGAAAUUGUUACAUAUCCUAGCUCAUGCCAUUCUUGUUAGUUGACUGGUGUUUUUUACCGAGGAGCAACUCAUUCCAGCAUCAACAAUGAGAUACCUUUAAAUAUGGCAGACUUGUAUUCUUGAGGUGUAAAAUUAACUCGGCAUGAUAAUUCUUGACCAUUACUUACCCCACAACUUCAAAUAGUUUCUUCAUGGACUAGGCAUGCAGAAAUAAGCAGUGGAUUUUACUGAAACCUAAGGCAUUUUUGGACGACAUUGUUACCAACCAUUAAUUGGCUCAGGACCUUUGUAAUUUUUAUUUAACGAUAUGAGUUGUCUUUUUUUACACUGCUUUUUUCAAUGCAUUUCUUAAUAUUUUUUAAGUUUCAUGAACGCAUGCUCAGUUUAUUAAAAUCCAUAACCAUGUAAUUCUUGUAAUAUGUUGAUUCAGUGUUUUGUAAAUGAAGUCGUAUGUAUUUUCAGAGUAUUUUUGUAUGUACUGUAAGAUACCAUCUUUUCAAAGAGAAAACUUUAAAACCUUUACUGUCUCUCUUUAAUUUUUUUAAAUAUGGAUUAUGCUUGAAUUACUCUUAAAAUGAAAAUGUAUAGAUUGCACAGCCAGGAAUGCUGGUAUUUAUUACUUUCUUCAGCUUUCACUCAGCAAUUUAGUAGGUUCUGGUAGGAAAAACACAAAUGGUACAUUUGAAUGGAGCAGGGAAAAUACUUGGUUGUAUAUUUUAUAGGACUCAUGGGACCCGUUUAGCCCGUGGAAUAAUAGUCCAUUUUCUCUCACAAGCCCCUUACCACAGAGUUGAAAUGCUUGGAAUCCUGAUAGAGAGCAGUAUCCUUCUCCCACUCCUGUUCCGUGAUCCCUCAGUUGCUGAAAUGGAAAUUCUAGUAUUUAAUCUCUUACAAGGGACAACUUAGAAGAGCAAGGAAAAAAUAGUUGUUGUUCUGUUACUCUCUUUUUACAUAGUAAAAGGCAAAAGUGAAAUCCUGUAACCAAGUUGUAGCUCACUUGGAAAGCUCUUCUUUUAGCCAACCCUUUCCUUUAUUCAAAUAUUUUUAAAUUUGUCCUAUAAAAACUCUUUGAGCAGAAGUAAAAGAUUACGAAAGGACUAAAUAAUUAAAAAAUUAUUCAGUUAGGAAGAUUUGAUUAAAUUUUCUGUAUGUGCUAUGUUUGCAUUUCUGUGUUUAAUAUCUAGCUAUUUUCCCCUUCUUUUAUCAGUAUUCAAGUCUCUAAGAAUUCUCAUGUUUGCCUUCCUAUAUAAACAUUCUUUAGAAUGACUAGUAGAGUUUUUCUUCAAUAAGAAAGCAACAGGCCUAACCCUUAUACCACAGUAUAGUCAUUUCUUGUCUGUUCAGCAUGGGGUUGAGACAGAGCCAAAUCAGUUGAAUGUUAGACACCUCAAAGAUCACAUUCUUCAACCUGUUUGACAACUUGGGAGUUGAAGAGAUACUUUUGAGAUGGUGGGUUUGGUCAGAAAUGAAGUGUUUUCUAUCGUAAACAGUAGAUAGAAUGUUCAGUACAUUUUGUGAGCGUAGUAGGAAAGCUCCAUUGUACUGGUUCCAAGUAAGUAAAAGGGGAAGGUUUGUAUUGGGAUUGUAUGUUAUGUUCAGAGGCACUAAAUAAAUGGGUCUUCAAGUUUGAAACUUACCCAGAAAUAUAUUUUGUAAAGUUAAUAACCUCCGGUAUGUAGACACAUGUUCAUUUUCCCAAGGGUAUGAAAUCUUAAUCUCAGUGUUCAGGACUGGCUCUGAAGAAUAGUAUGUAUCAAAGGAAAAUACUUGUCUGCUAGCUUAAAUCACAGGGACUUAAUUCAUUUGAGAGGGUACAUGGCUUAAAACCUUGUAAAAUUGGGGCAAAAUGAAUUUUAAAAGACUAUUGGUGCUUACAAUAACUGUCUUAAAGCGACAAGUAACCUUAUUAAAAUGCUUACUUUACUACAGUAGCAAUAAAGUACAGAUGAACAGUGUGGAAAUGGGCUAAACUUAUUUUGUGUUCCUCAGCUUUGAAAUAGGAAUUCCUAACUCGGGGAUCAUGGGCCUUUGGGAAUCCUUUGCAAAUGUAUAUAAGAAAUUUGUUUAUAUGCGUUUUUGUUUUGUUCUUUACUGGCGGGGGCGGGGGAAUUCAUAAAUUUGAUCAGCUUCUCAAAGUGGUUCAUGAUCCUUAAAAAAAAAGGGAUGAUGGGGCAUUCUUAGGAACCACAGCUUUGCAACAUUGAAUUAUCCCAGACUCUUUGAGGUUUUUUCCCAUAAGCUUUCUCUGUUGUAGAUUUCUGAAAAUGUAGUAUGGCUCUUAACUAGUAAAGUGGGCUGUUGGAGGAUUCUGGAAUACCAAAUUUCUCCGAAUUUCUUUAUAUAUUUCAGAUGAACCAGUGUUUAGAUGAAUCAGUAUUUAGAAGAAUGCCUACUAUUGAAUUUAUAAAUGUCCUCAUGUUUACAUUCAUUAACAGGGUCAAACUUUAGUAACUUUCAACCUAAGACUGAUCAGAGCAGAAUAGCUCAGAAUGAUCUUUAGAAAUAGUAAACAAUAGAAUUAAUCAGUGAGGAUCCUAAUCCUUUGGUUUCAGCAGCAUUAACGUUCUCUCUUGUUCCUUCAGGUUUGUGGUUCAGAGCAGAAUAGUCUGAACAGAAAGAUAAAGAGAGAACUUUAGUUUUAAAAAAUAACAUGUUCUUAAACAACCAUCAAAUCUUCCAAAGCUUAGAAUUUAGGUCAUAAUGAUAGUGGUAAACAGUGCAGACAAUGGAAGAAAACAGGUCUCAAUAAUGGUAACUAUUUCCUUUGGGUUUUUUUAAAGAAUUGUACAAGGUAAGAUCCUCACCAGAUUCCCUAUUUUUUCUGAAUUUUACUGAUACCAUUUUAUAUCUGUAGUUGAACAUAAGAUUAUCAUCGGGUUUGCUACAAUUUUUAAGCCAUUGCUGCAUUUCAGCAAAGAGUCACAUAAUUACCUUAUAAAGAACUUAAGAUAUCUUUGAGGUAAAUGGUGCUACAUCAUUCCACAGUAUUAUGUAAAAUGAAUGCAGCUGCCGUUCCUUUCUAGAUAGCUGUUUGUGUAGUUCAUACUAAUAUUUCCUGCCUUUUAUUUGGAUUGUCUUAUUUCUUAGUUGUACACACAAGCCUCACUUGUCUGGAAUAAGUAAUCAAAUAAACUUGCUUUGCUAAA